UCCUACGGGGGGCAGCAGUGGGGAAUAUUGCACAAUGGGGGGAACCCUGAUGCAGCAACGCCGCGUGAGUGAAGAAGUACCUCGGUAUGUAAAGUUCUAUCAGCAGGGAAGAAAAUGACGGUACCUGACUAAGAAGCACCGGCUAAAUACGUGCCAGCAGCCGCGGUAAUACGUAUGGUGCAAGCGUUAUCCGGAUUUACUGGGUGUAAAGGGUGCGCAGGCGGAGGUGCAAGUCAGCGGUCAAAUUGCGGGGCUCAACCCCGUACUGCCGUUGAAACUGCAUCCCUUGAGUGCGCGAGAAGUAU
Molecule: ribosomal RNA, 305 nt
Filed under: uncultured bacterium
Lineage: Bacteria
Description: bacterial SSU rRNA
Rfam family: Bacterial small subunit ribosomal RNA
Source: RNAcentral